UCAGUAUCUGCUAAGUUCAAGAAUGCCCAUCUGGCAACCCGGUACCACAAGGACCUGCCCACCUGGCCACAAGGACAAACCAUUCCUGCCUGUUACCCCAAGUAACAUCUAAUUAAAGAAAGGGCUUGUGGUCCCCGUCCUUAGAAGUCUAGUAGGGUGAAUAAGACAAAGUGCACAAAUAAGCAGAUCUCCAAGGCAGGACACACCAACUGCCACAGCAGAUGUAAAAAUAACACAUCAUGGGAGUUGAAAAGUGAUAGCAGUAAUGUGUGACCUGGAGAAUUCAGGUCCCCCUGAAAGUAGCCAGGACACAGAGAGGGGAAGCUGCAGAAAGGACCUGGUUCCAGAAAGUGCAGCCUGCCGUGGUAUCCGUCAGAAGAGCCGGUCCAGUGGCCAACAUGUGAAUGGGUGAGAUCAUGGGGCAGAGAAGAGAGAGGACGAGAGGCUGGGGGCAGAGCCUUGAAGGAUGCCAGCACCAUGGGAAAAAGAACAAGCAGUUUCUGGGAGACACAAAAGGGAAACCGGGAAAGUGCAGCCUGGCCCAGCCAAGGGGGAGGCUUCAAGGGGGAGGUGAACAGCAGGACCAGAUGCUUCAGAAGUCCGGUGGGACGAGGUCUGAAAAUGAGCCCACGGGAUUUGGCAACAGGAGGUCACAGCAGCCCUUAGGAGGGCACAGUGACUGUGACGCUCCGGCGGGAUCCAGAUGGUGCCUGGGGGAGAGGAGAUGACUUCCUCCGGCUGGUCAGAGAAGCUUUGAGGAAACAGAAGGAAAGCGAGAAAAAGCAAAGCCCUUUGGGGCUGAGAAGUGGAAGGAGAGAAGGUUAUGUUUACCGUCUCAUCUCCUCUUUGCUCUGUUUUCUUGACUCUGGCUGCAAUAAUCAGUGCAUUCAUAGAAAAUAAAGCAUGUUAUUUGAUGAAAUGUGGAGAAUCA
RNAcentral lists this long non-coding RNA (931 nucleotides) under Vulpes vulpes (red fox). RNAcentral's name for it is "lncRNA (ENSVVUG00000002031.1)". The record is from RNAcentral. Lineage: Eukaryota; Metazoa; Chordata; Mammalia; Carnivora; Canidae.